Molecule: transfer RNA, 71 nt
Filed under: Marmota monax (woodchuck)
Lineage: Eukaryota; Metazoa; Chordata; Mammalia; Rodentia; Sciuridae
Rfam family: tRNA
About the family: Transfer RNA (tRNA) molecules are approximately 80 nucleotides in length. Their secondary structure includes four short double-helical elements and three loops (D, anti-codon, and T loops). Further hydrogen bonds mediate the characteristic L-shaped molecular structure. tRNAs have two regions of fundamental functional importance: the anti-codon, which is responsible for specific mRNA codon recognition, and the 3' end, to which the tRNAs corresponding amino acid is attached (by aminoacyl-tRNA synthetases). tRNAs cope with the degeneracy of the genetic code in two manners: having more than one tRNA (with a specific anti-codon) for a particular amino acid; and 'wobble' base-pairing, i.e. permitting non-standard base-pairing at the 3rd anti-codon position.
Source: Rfam by way of RNAcentral
GUGGUUGUGGCUCAGUGGUAGAGUGCUCGCCUAGCACGUGUGAGGCCCUAGGUUCGAUCCUCAGCACCACA